Molecule: ribosomal RNA, 60 nt
Filed under: Taiwanofungus camphoratus
Lineage: Eukaryota; Fungi; Basidiomycota; Agaricomycetes; Polyporales; Taiwanofungaceae
Description: partial 28S ribosomal RNA
Source: RNAcentral
UCUGGACCCCAAUCCAGGAAGAAUACCCGCUGAACUUUAGCCUAUCCAUAAGCCGAAGAA